This 800-nucleotide ribosomal RNA is filed under the name uncultured bacterium. Its description in RNAcentral is "bacterial SSU rRNA". It matches the Rfam family "Bacterial small subunit ribosomal RNA", at positions 8 to 827 of the family's 1533-position model. The record is from RNAcentral.
AGAGUUUGAUCAUGGCUCAGGAUGAACGCUGGCGGCGUGCUUAACACAUGCAAGUCGAACGAGCGGUUCCCUUCGGGGGACAGCGAGUGGCGGACGGGUGAGUAACGCGUGGGUAACCUGCCCCAUACAGGGGGAUAACAGCUGGAAACGGCUGAUAAUACCGCAUAAGCGCACAGUACCGCAUGGUACGGUGUGAAAAGCCCCGGCGGUAUGGGAUGGGCCCGCGUCUGAUUAGCCAGUUGGCGGGGUAACGGCCCACCAAAGCGACGAUCAGUAGCCGACUUGAGAGAGUGACCGGCCACAUUGGGACUGAGACACGGCCCAAACUCCUACGGGAGGCAGCAGUGGGGAAUAUUGCACAAUGGGGGAAACCCUGAUGCAGCGACGCCGCGUGAGUGUGGAAGUAUUUCGGUAUGUAAAGCUCUAUCAGCAGGGAAGAAAUGACGGUACCUGACUAAGAAGCCCCGGCUAAAUACGUGCCAGCAGCCGCGGUAAUACGUAUGGGGCAAGCGUUAUCCGGAUUUACUGGGUGUAAAGGGAGCGCAGGCGGCGAGGCAAGUCAGAAGUGAAAACCCGGGGCUCAACCCCGCGGAUUGCUUUUGAAACUGCCCGGCUGGAGUGCAGGAGGGGCAAGCGGAACUCCUAGUGUAGCGGUGAAAUGCGUAGAUAUUAGGAAGAACACCGGUGGCGAAGGCGGCUUGCUGGACUGUAACUGACGCUGAGGCUCGAAGGCGUGGGGAGCAAACAGGAUUAGAUACCCUGGUAGUCCACGCAGUAAACGAUGAAUACCAGUGUCGGUG